UAGGGAAUCUUCGGCAAUGGACGAAAGUCUGACCGAGCAACGCCGCGUGAGUGAAGAAGGUUUUCGGAUCGUAAAACUCUGUUGUUAGAGAAGAACAAGGACGUUAGUAACUGAACGUCCCCUGACGGUAUCUAACCAGAAAGCCACGGCUAACUACGUGCCAGCAGCCGCGGUAAUACGUAGGUGGCAAGCGUUGUCCGGAUUUAUUGGGCGUAAAGCGAGCGCAGGCGGUUUCUUAAGUCUGAUGUUAAAGCCCCCGGCUCAACCGGUGAGGGUCAUUGGAAACUGGGAGUCUUGAGUGCAGGAGAGGAGAGUGGAAUUCCAUGUGUAGCGGUGAAAUGCGUAGAUAUAUGGAGGAACCCCAGUGGCGAAGGCGGCUCUCUGGUCUGUAACAGACGCUGAGGCUCGAAAGCGUGGGGAGCAAACAGG
This 429-nucleotide ribosomal RNA is filed under the name Gemmatimonadota bacterium. RNAcentral describes it as "Gemmatimonadetes bacterium partial 16S ribosomal RNA". It matches the Rfam family "Bacterial small subunit ribosomal RNA", at positions 355 to 776 of the family's 1533-position model. Lineage: Bacteria; Pseudomonadati; Gemmatimonadota. The record is from RNAcentral.